GUGAGUCAUCGAAUCUUUGAACGCACAUUGCGCCUCCCUUUACCGGGGGGCAUGCCUGUCUGAGCGUCAUUUAAACCUAUGGACCCGACAGGGUUCCGUAUUGGGCCUCGCCUCCUCUCUGAGCGGCGUCGCCUCAAAGGCAUCGGCUUUAUAGAGCGGAUGGGAUCUUUAAUAGACUGGCCGUUCUAUAGCUGGAGUUUGACUCUGAUUUGACCUCAGAUCAGGUAGGGACACCGCCUGAACUUAAGCAUAUCAAUAAGCGGAGGA
This 267-nucleotide unclassified non-coding RNA is filed under the name Archaeorhizomyces sp. RNAcentral describes it as "partial contains 5.8S ribosomal RNA, internal transcribed spacer 2, and large subunit ribosomal RNA". The stretch from base 1 to 69 matches the Rfam family "5.8S ribosomal RNA", at positions 84 to 154 of the family's 154-position model. The record is from RNAcentral. Lineage: Eukaryota; Fungi; Ascomycota; Archaeorhizomycetes; Archaeorhizomycetales; Archaeorhizomycetaceae.